RNAcentral lists this long non-coding RNA (1412 nucleotides) under Oryza sativa (Asian cultivated rice). RNAcentral describes it as "long non-coding RNA (OSAT_LNC001965)". The record is from RNAcentral. Lineage: Eukaryota; Viridiplantae; Streptophyta; Magnoliopsida; Poales; Poaceae.
UAAUCAGGAAAGCAAAAUAGCCAAUAACCUCUAGAAAAUGAUCACAAAACUUCAGCUGGCACACUGUCUUGAGUUAUACACAUGCAGUGAUACAGAACAGGUGCAAUGCAAAUACAAUUAAUCAAAGCUAACCACCAGAAAUGGAGGCCUUGAGCUUGUUCAUAUCGAUGAAUCUGUCAUCAGACUUGUAGCAGGUGUGAUGACAGUACACGUAGACACAGUCAAAUAUGAAAAAAAAACAUUUAGCUAUGAAAAAGGUGAUAUAUUUAUGUGCAAUGCUCCCUAGAUUUUGUAGGCUAGUGGAUUGUCAUAUUAGUCUCUAGAUAAAAAUUAGAGAUGGGCAGAUGCAGUCAUUUACAUUUCGGCUGUCAAAUUCACGCUAUAAUCUUGACAUGUGCAUAAACAGUCUGCAAUAUAUGAUUGACAUUACAUAGGGUAAAUGCAGAGUUAGAAACUGUAGCAUUCAGUACCUAGUGUUGUACUAAUUACAUAGGCUAAUUGUAGAGUAGAACUAAAACUUUGUUGUUAAUUAAUAGGUUAAGGUUAAGGUGUCCUCAGGCCUCAUGGACACGAGAACCAAUAAUAUAGUGACCAUGAGCUGUUUGCUUGGCUUUCAGCUUCAGAACUCAGAAGGGAAAAAAAUUAAAGUGAACAGGAUUAUUUUGACAAAAGUGUUACUGAUUUACAGCCAUUUUUGAACCAUCGGUGCAGAUAUGUAGAUCUUCAAAUUUAAUUGUGUCCUUGAUUCACAUAUUUGCCCAACAGACUGACGCAGGGCAAGAAACCAAGUGUAUUCUCCUGUCAUCGAAGGCACUUGUUAAUGUCAAACCAAACAUUUAGAUCAUUGCUGAUGAUGCCAAAAGAAAAAUAUAUUGUCCAAUAAAAAAAUCGUUUCAGUAGGCUAUCGGCCUUUAACAUUAAUAUUUCCUUGCUGAACAAAACACAGGAACAAUCUUUUUUUUAAAAAAAAACAUAAACAUAAUUGUACAUGUGCUUUCUAACAUAUUCUUUGUCAAUCCAUCCCAUUACUGUUCUUUAUUAUGUUUUCCCGGCUACAGUCUGGGAAGGCAAAGAUAGGAGGUGAUGAGAUUUUCUGAGUUUGAGACUUACCAAACUAUUUAGCUGUGAUCCGAUUUAUCUUUGUCCCGCUUUUUCUGAAGCUGUGAUUGGGAUGGGGAUGGGGAUGAGAAAGCGAGUAGGAGGGGUGCGGUGGAGGCGAGGAGGCGGUGGACUGUGCGAGGAAGAGACGCCGGAGGAGGAGAGGAGAAAGCAACGGCGUGGAUGGACUUCGCCGGCGACGUGGAAUGGAAGUAGAGGCGGAGGAGGCGACGGCAAUGCGGAGGCGGCGGUGGAUUUGCUUCUGAGGAGAUGGGUUACUUCUGCGUCUCUUUUAUUUUUUUUUCUUUUUCGUA